GAUGAAGAACGUAGCGAAAUGCGAUAAGUAAUGUGAAUUGCAGAAUUCAGUGAAUCAUCGAAUCUUUGAACGCAACUUGCGCCCUUUGGUAUUCCGAAGGGCAUGCCUGUUUGAGUGUCAUAUAAACCUCACCUCUACUGUUUUUCAUUAGACAUGUGGAUUGGUGCUUUGGGUGUCUGCCGUUUACUCUGGCUCGCCUUAAAUGUCUAAGUGGAAUGCGUAAUAAGUCUUCGCAACCCUCCACUCUAAUACAAAACUUUUAUAUUCUGACCUCAAAUCAGGUAGGACUACCCGCUGAACUUAAGCAUAUCAAUAAGCCGGAGGA
RNAcentral lists this unclassified non-coding RNA (325 nucleotides) under soil metagenome. RNAcentral describes it as "partial contains 5.8S ribosomal RNA, internal transcribed spacer 2, and large subunit ribosomal RNA". The stretch from base 1 to 120 matches the Rfam family "5.8S ribosomal RNA", at positions 35 to 154 of the family's 154-position model. The record is from RNAcentral.